Molecule: ribosomal RNA, 2934 nt
Filed under: Triticum aestivum (bread wheat)
Lineage: Eukaryota; Viridiplantae; Streptophyta; Magnoliopsida; Poales; Poaceae
Description: partial small subunit ribosomal RNA
Source: RNAcentral
AUGGUGAUCUCAAUGAGGGAAGUGGAUCCUGUCUUCAAAGGGGCAGGCCAAAAGGAUGGACUGGAGAUAUGGCGAAUCGAAAAGUUGCAGGCUGUUCCUGUUCCCAGGGAAUCACAUGGCAAAUUUUUCACAGGAGAUUCUUAUAUAAUACUAAAGACGUCGGCCCUCAAAAAUGGUUCUUUUUGUCAAGAGAUCCACUAUUGGCUUGGGAAAGAUACCCGUCAGGAUGAAGCUGGUAUAGCUGCGAUCAAGACUGUGGAACUGGAUGCUGCUCUUGGUGGACGUGCUGUACAAUACCGUGAAGUGCAAGGAAACGAGACUGAAAAAUUUCUUUCAUACUUUAAACCUUGUAUCAUACCAGAGGAAGGUGGAGCUGCAUCUGGUUUUAGACAGGCUGUAGUCAAUGAGCGGGAGUAUGUGCCACGAUUAUUUGUCUGCAAAGGAAAACACACGGUUCAGGUCGAAGAGGUUCCUUUUGCACGGGCAUCACUGAACCAUGAUGACAUACUUAUUUUGGAUACUAACUCAAAGAUAUUCCAAUUCAAUGGAUCGAAUUCGAGUAUUCAAGAGAGGGCUAAAGCCCUAGAGGUUGUGCAAUACCUCAAAGACGCCAACCAUGAAGGAACAUGCGAUGUGGCUGUGGUUGAUGAUGGAAAGUUGAUGGCAGACGCUGAUGCUGGUGAGUUUUGGGGUCUCUUUGGUGGAUUUGCUCCUCUGCCAAAAAAGACAUUUUCUGACCCCGAUGGAAACGAUGAUGCUUUCCCUUCAAAGCUGCUCUGUGUAAAUGAGGGCCAGACAUUUCCCUUGGAUUGUGAAGAUCUAACAAGAGCGCUGCUAGAUUCAACAAAAUGCUACUUUCUGGACUGUGGAUCUGAACUUUAUGUCUGGAUGGGUAGAGAAACAGUACUUGAAGAUAGGAAACGAGCAGGAUUGGCCGCUGAGGAGUUGCUCCGUGAGGGAAAUCGACCAAGAUGUCACAUCAUUCGUCUCAUGGAAGGAUUCGAGACGGUUAUAUUCCGGUCGAAGUUCAGUAAAUGGCCCAAGAAGGUUGAGACAGUUGUGUCAGAUGAAAGCAGAGGAAAAGUUGCAGCCAUUCUGAAGCGCCAAGGAAUUAACGUUAGGGGUGUGGCAAAAGCUGCUCCUUUGAAGGAAGAGUCUCAAGCUCACAUUGACUGCACAGGAAACUUACAGGUUUGGCGUGUAAAUGACUGUGAAAAGACGUUCCUUUCAUUCUAUGAACAAUGCAAGUUCUACAGUGGAGAUUGCUAUAUCUUCCAAUAUAGCUACCGUGGUGAUGAUGGCGAGAAUUGUCUUAUCGGUACUUGGUUCGGCCAGAAGAGUAUUGAGGAGGAGAGGAGUGCAGCCACUUCCCUUGCUCAUGCGAUGGUUGAUUCACUGAAAUUCCAGGCAGUUCUGGUUCGCCUUUAUGAAGGAAAGGAGUCCAUGGAGUUCUUUACUAUAUUUCAAAACAUGGUUAUAUUCAAGGGUGGUGCUAGUACUGGAUACAAGAAAUAUGUCUCAGAAAAUGCCACUGAGGAUGAUACAUAUUCAGAUAACGGUGUUGCACUUUUCCGGGUUCAAGGUUCAGGACCGGAGAAUAUGCAAGCGAUUCAAGUUGACACGGCAGCAGCAUCGCUGAACUCUUCUUAUUGUUACAUACUACAUGAUGGAGACACGCUAUUUACUUGGGUUGGGAACCUAAGCUCCUCAAUGGACCACGGGCUUGCUGAGAGGCAGCUAGAUGUGCUCAAGCCAAAUCUCCAGUCAAGAUUGCUCAAGGAAGGAUCAGAAUCUGAUCAAUUUUGGAAGUUACUUGGAAGCAAGUGUGAAUACCCAAGGCAGAAGAUUGUGAGAGAUCAAGAAAGUGACUCUCGUUUGUUCUCUUGUACCUUUUCAAACGAAAUUAAUGGUGGUCUACUGAUGUUGCAGGCUAGAGAGGUAUUCAAUUUUACGCAAGAUGAUAUGAUGACAGAGGAGAUAUAUAUUUUAGACUGUCAUUCAUCUGUCUUUAUAUGGGUUGGACAACAUGUGGACACAAAUAUACGAGCACAUGCUUUGAUGAUUGGAGAGAAAUUUCUUGAACUUGACAUUCUCAUGGAAAACUUGUCACGAGAAACGCCACUUUAUGUUAUCACUCAAGGAAGCGAGCCCCAAUUUUUCACAAGGUUCUUCUUCACUUGGGACUCUGCAAAAUCAGCUAUGCAUGGUAACUCAUUUGAACGGAGGCUUUCUAUAGUGAAGAAUGGAGUAAAACUAAUAAGAGAUAAGCCUAAAAGAAGGCCGACAACAUCAUCACACACUGGAAGAUGCAUUGUACCUGAUAAACCUCAGAGGAGAACUACGUCUUCCAGUCCUGACCAUGCAAGAGUUAGAGGAAGAUCGCCAUCAUUCACUGCAUUGGCUGCCAACUUUGAGAACCCAAAUGCCCGGAAUCUGUCAACUCCACCUGUUGCUACAAAGCCGUCUCCAAGGACAACUCCAAGGACUUCCCCUGAACCUGGGAAGCCACCCCUAAGGGCUGAUUCAAUCGCCGCAAUCUCCGCUUUGUUCGAGCAGCCUAGACCAAAUCUGAUACCAAAGUCAAGGAAAGGUCGUGCUGUAAACAAACACCAGCCUGAAGCAAGCAAACCUGAACCAGAGGCAAAUGCCAAGGAGACCGCCCCUGGUGAGGAGGAUGGGCAGACUCUCACUCCGGCGAAACAGGAAGAUGAAAAGGAGGGUCAGCCGGAAGAUGUGGAAGGGCUCCCUGAGUACCCAUAUGAUCGCCUGAGGACAUCUUCCACCGAUCCUGUCACAGCCAUUGACCAAUCCAGGCGCGAGGUGUACCUGUCUUCGGCGGAGUUCAGGGAGAAAUUUGGGAUGACCAAGGAGGCUUUUGCCCAGCUGCCAAAGUGGAAGCAGACUAGGCUCAAGAUCACGCUCCAGCUGUUCUGA